Molecule: ribosomal RNA, 408 nt
Filed under: uncultured bacterium
Lineage: Bacteria
Description: partial 16S ribosomal RNA
Rfam family: Bacterial small subunit ribosomal RNA
Source: RNAcentral
GACGAACGCUGGCGGCGUGCUUAACACAUGCAAGUCGAACGAAGUGGCGAACGGGUGAGUAACGCGUACACAACCUGCUCUUCAACGGGGGACAACAGUUGGAAACGACUGCUCAUACAGUAUACUGUAGGAGGGGCGUGCGUCUGAUUAGCUAGUUGGGGGGGUAACGGCCCACCAAGGCGAUGAUCAGUAGCCGGUCUUAGAGGAUGAACGGCAAAAGUGGGACUGAGACACGGCCCAGACUCCUACGGGAGGCAGCAGUGGGGAAGCUUCCGCAAUGGACGAAAGUCUGACGGAGCAACGCCGCGUGAGUGAUGACGGCCUUCGGGUUGUAAAGCUCUGUUAAUCGGGACGCGGUACCGGAAUAGAAAGCCACGGCUAACUACGUGCCAGCAGCCGCGGUAAUAC